CCCUUAGAUGUUCUGGGCCGCACGCGCGCUACAAUGAUGAAUUCAACGAGUUUAUAACCUUGGUUGAAAAUCCUGGGUAAUCUUUUGAACUUUCGUCGUGAUGGGGCUAGACCCUUGCAAUUAUUGGUCUCCAACGAGGAAUUCCUAGUAAACGCAAGUCAUCAGCUUGCAUUGAUUACGUCCCUGCCCUUUGUACACACCGCCCGUCGCACCUACCGAUUGAAUGGUCCGGUGAAAUCUUCGGAUUGGGACUUUGUUUUCUUCACGGAAAACGCUGUUUUAAAAAGUUGAUUAAACCUUACCAUUUAGAGGAAGGUGAAGUCGUAACA
RNAcentral lists this ribosomal RNA (329 nucleotides) under uncultured eukaryote. Its description in RNAcentral is "partial 18S ribosomal RNA". It matches the Rfam family "Eukaryotic small subunit ribosomal RNA", at positions 1470 to 1796 of the family's 1831-position model. The record is from RNAcentral.